UUAGAGAGGAAAAAAAGUUUUCUCUUGGUAUAACUCUAGGGUGGGAGAACUAUCUUUGUGAUACACCUUGGGAAACACUUAUCAAAUUGAGUCUCUUGGCCACGGGAAGAGAUUCGGGUUUUUGGGUAGAAUUAGGAUUAAUUCUUGUAACUCAAUUGAAACUCUUUGUAAAGUUACUCGUUUGAUAUAGUGGAACGGAGGGGCUGCUCUCUCCCCCAGACUAGGUCAUUAUUGGACCGAACUGGGUAAACAAAUAUUGCGUUC
This 264-nucleotide long non-coding RNA is filed under the name Trifolium pratense (red clover). RNAcentral's name for it is "long non-coding RNA (TPRA_LNC001318)". The record is from RNAcentral. Lineage: Eukaryota; Viridiplantae; Streptophyta; Magnoliopsida; Fabales; Fabaceae.